RNAcentral lists this ribosomal RNA (292 nucleotides) under uncultured Bacteroidota bacterium. Its description in RNAcentral is "uncultured Bacteroidetes bacterium partial 16S ribosomal RNA". Lineage: Bacteria; Pseudomonadati; Bacteroidota. The record is from RNAcentral.
GGACUACAGGGGUAUCUAAUCCUGUUUGAUCCCCACGCUAUCGUGCCUCAGCGUCGGUACGUCCCCAGCGAGCUGCCUUCGCUAUCGGCGUUCUGGUAGAUAUCUAUGCAUUUCACCGCUACACCUUCCAUUCCGCCCGCCCAGAGACGACCCAAGCCCCGCAGUAUCGUCGGCACGCCACGGGUUGAGCCCGUGGGUUUCACCGCAGACUUACGGGGCCGCCUACGCACCCUUUAAACCCAAUAAAUCCGGACAACGCUUGCACCCUCCGUAUUACCGCGGCUGCUGGCAC